CGUAACAAGGUUUCCGUAGGUGAACCUGCGGAAGGAUCAUUACUGAGUGCGGGCUGCCUCCGGGCGCCCAACCUCCCACCCGUGACUACCUAACACUGUUGCUUCGGCGGGAAGCCCUCUCGGGGGCGAGCCGCCGGGGACUACUGAACUUCAUGCCUGAGAGUGAUGCAGUCUGAGUCUGAAUAUAAAAUCAGUCAAAACUUUCAACAAUGGAUCUCUUGGUUCCGGCAUCGAUGAAGAACGCAGCGAACUGCGAUAAGUAAUGUGAAUUGCAGAAUUCAGUGAAUCAUCGAGUCUUUGAACGCACAUUGCGCCCCCUGGCAUUCCGGGGGGCAUGCCUGUCCGAGCGUCAUUGCUGCCCAUCAAGCCCGGCUUGUGUGUUGGGUCGUCGUCCCCCCCGGGGGACGGGCCCGAAAGGCAGCGGCGGCACCGUGUCCGGUCCUCGAGCGUAUGGGGCUUUGUCACCCGCUCGAUUUAGGGCCGGCCGGGCGCCAGCCGACGUCCAACCAUUUUUCUUCAGGUUGACCUCGGAUCAGGUAGGGAUACCCGCUGAACUUAAGCAUAUCAAUAAGCGGAGGAAAAGAAACCAACCGGGAUUGCCCCAGUAACGGCGAGUGAAGCGGCAAGAGCUCAAAUUUGAAAUCUGGCCCCUCCGGGGUCCGAGUUGUAAUUUGCAGAGGAUGCUUC
Molecule: unclassified non-coding RNA, 687 nt
Filed under: Aspergillus amoenus
Lineage: Eukaryota; Fungi; Ascomycota; Eurotiomycetes; Eurotiales; Aspergillaceae
Description: sequence contains ITS1, 5.8S rRNA gene, ITS2
Rfam family: 5.8S ribosomal RNA (bases 199-352)
Source: RNAcentral